AUGGCUUCUGAGAAUUCUUCUCCACCAGCAGACAGGAUGAAAAAAAAUAUUAGCAAUGAUCGGAUUCUAUGCUAUCACGCCGGUAUUUAUGUGCCAUUAUUGAUAGGAAUGCUGCUUGUUUGGAAUCUGGAAGGUAAACAGAGUUUCAAAUUCCAACCCUCUAUUGUGGAAAGUAAUAACCCUGCAGCAUGGCCAUGCAAAUUAAGGAACUCUGAAACCCCAAACCUCCAAUCACAGCACCGGGCACACCAACAUUCCAAACACGCCUCUCUCCCCAAAGAGAGCCUGGCUCAUGCCACGGAAUCUUUUCAGAGCCAGCAUCAAAGGCUGCGUGAGGCCCAGUAUGUGGGACAUCUCAUUGCAGCCCAAGUCCCAACGUGGGGUGAGGGAAGUGCUGUGCCAAUUUAUGUUCUGCCCAGAAGUGGGAGGAAUCUAAUCUUCAUAUAGGAAGCUCCAGCCAACAUUGAGGCCCGUGGACACAUUGGGUUAGAAGAUUCCUUCCCGUCCACUCUCUCCUUCCACGUGUGGAAGCUCAGGCAAAAAGCAGCAAGUCACUUGCUCAAAAUCUUGUGAGUCCUAAUAUUUAAAUCCUGAAAAUAAACUCCAAACUCCCCUUUUUGGUUUUGUGCCG
RNAcentral lists this long non-coding RNA (631 nucleotides) under Vulpes vulpes (red fox). RNAcentral describes it as "lncRNA (ENSVVUG00000025080.1)". The record is from RNAcentral. Lineage: Eukaryota; Metazoa; Chordata; Mammalia; Carnivora; Canidae.